This 1028-nucleotide ribosomal RNA is filed under the name Camarops microspora. Its description in RNAcentral is "SSU rRNA". It matches the Rfam family "Eukaryotic small subunit ribosomal RNA", at positions 73 to 1111 of the family's 1831-position model. Lineage: Eukaryota; Fungi; Ascomycota; Sordariomycetes; Boliniales; Boliniaceae. The record is from RNAcentral.
AUUAUACUGCGAAACUGCGAAUGGCUCAUUAAAUCAGUUAUCGUUUAUUUGAUAGCACCUUACUACAUGGAUAACCGUGGUAAUUCUAGAGCUAAUACAUGCUAAAAACCCCGACUUCGGGAGGGGUGUAUUUAUUAGAUUAAAAACCAAUGCCCUCCGGGGCUCACUGGUGAUUCAUAAUAACUUCUCGAAUCGCACGGCCUUGCGCCGGCGAUGGUUCAUUCAAAUUUCUGCCCUAUCAACUUUCGACGGCUGGGUCUUGGCCAGCCAUGGUGACAACGGGUAACGGAGGGUUAGGGCUUGACCCCGGAGAAGGAGCCUGAGAGACGGCUACUACAUCCAAGGAAGGCAGCAGGCGCGCAAAUUACCCAAUGCCGACACGGCGAGGUAGUGACGAUAAAUACUGAUACAGGGCUCUUUUGGGUCUUGUAAUUGGAAUGAGUACAAUUUAAAUCCCUUAACGAGGAACAAUUGGAGGGCAAGUCUGGUGCCAGCAGCCGCGGUAAUUCCAGCUCCAAUAGCGUAUAUUAAAGUUGUUGAGGUUAAAAAGCUCGUAGUUGAACCUUGGGCCUGGCUGGCCGGUCCGCCUCACCGCGUGUACUGGUCCGGCCGGGCCUUUCCCUCUGGGGAGCCGCAUGCCCUUCACUGGGUGUGUCGGGGAACCAGGACUUUUACCGUGAAAAAAUCAGAUCGCUUAAAGAAGGCCUAUGCUCGAAUGCAUUAGCAUGGAAUAAUGAAAUAGGACGCGUGGUUCUAUUUUGUUGGUUUCUAGGACCGCCGUAAUGAUUAAUAGGGACAGUCGGGGGCAUCAGUAUUCAAUUGUCAGAGGUGAAAUUCUUGGAUUUAUUGAAGACUAACUACUGCGAAAGCAUUUGCCAAGGAUGUUUUCAUUAAUCAGGAACGAAAGUUAGGGGAUCGAAGACGAUCAGAUACCGUCGUAGUCUUAACCAUAAACUAUGCCGAUUAGGGAUCGGACGAUGUUAUUUUUUGACUCGUUCGGCACCUUACGAUAAAUCAAAAUGUUUGGG